UACGGGGGGGGCGAGCGUUGUUCGGAAUUAUUGGGCGUAAAGGGAGCGUAGGCGGUGCGAUAAGUCGGGUGUGAAACCUCCAGGCUCAACUUGGAGCUAGCAUCUGAAACUGCCGCGCUAGAGUGUGGGAGGGGAGAGUGGAAUUCCCGGUGUAGCGGUGAAAUGCGUAGAUAUCGGGAGGAACAUCGGUGGCGAAGGCGGCUCUCUGGACCAUAACUGACGCUGAGGCUCGAAAGCUAGGGGAGCAAACAGG
Molecule: ribosomal RNA, 253 nt
Filed under: uncultured bacterium
Lineage: Bacteria
Description: partial 16S ribosomal RNA
Rfam family: Bacterial small subunit ribosomal RNA
Source: RNAcentral